UCGACCGCGUGGAUGGCACAAGAUAAGGAAGCGCUGGCAUCUGGCCUGGCAUCCGAAGACCUAAGAAUAACAAGCGCUUCUGCACUGUCUGUGCAUUGAAACGCCCCCUGCCUUUGGCGCAUCCACCGCGUGGAGGGCCAGGAUGUGCCCUUUGUCCUCCCCCCACAUCAUGUCGAAAUCAUGACCCCCGGACUGCAAAACAACGAAAUUACUUCAGGACUUGAAUCAUCACAAGAGUUUCACUAGAGGAUUUUAUACAUUUGGGGUGUGGAAGCAGAUUGAUUAUAUCACUUUACCUGACAGGAUCUUGCUAAGUUAUCCAGGCUGGCUUUGAACUUGGGACCAUCCUGCCUUGGUGUUGCAAGUGGCUGGGCUUACAGGUCACUUCUCUUUCCUGGCCAAGGGGACUACAAGUUGAACUGCCAGAAGUUCUUCCCUCUGAGAGGAUUUUCCUUCACUGUUCCCCUUCAGUGGCAUCCCUGAGAUAUAGAAAUGAAAGGAUCAAGAAGAACCAGGACAAUCUUGGAAAAAGAAGAAUGAAGCCAGAAGCCUUUCUGUUUGGUUAAGAUACCCCUGGGCACUUAUGCCCACCAGACAGCCCACAACCUUGGUCCUGCCCUCCUUGCCCCUAUAGCUUACAUUCUAGUGAGGGAAAAUAAAUAAAUAAAUGAUAAAUGUUUAGUACUUUAAA
Molecule: non-coding RNA, 691 nt
Organism: Marmota flaviventris (yellow-bellied marmot)
Lineage: Eukaryota; Metazoa; Chordata; Mammalia; Rodentia; Sciuridae
Source: RefSeq, a predicted model, not a curated record